This is a non-coding RNA of Callithrix jacchus (white-tufted-ear marmoset), 2369 nucleotides long. Lineage: Eukaryota; Metazoa; Chordata; Mammalia; Primates; Cebidae. The record is from RefSeq and is a predicted model, not a curated record.
UAUGCCUCCCCUAGCUCAGUCACACAGCUGCCUGGUAGGUGAUUGGAGCUAUUUACCAGUGCUUGUCUGAUUUUGCUGAUGUGACCCUAACCCCACCUCCCUCCCCACCCCGCAAUGUCAACGUCCACAGAGUCUCAAGAGAGCAAAUUGGCAGCAGCCAAAAAAAAGGUUCGCACAUUGAAGCUUGGGAAGAGGCAGGAUGCACAUCACAUGCAGAAGCUGGAAAGGAGCCUUGCCCACCUCAGGAAUGAGCUGGCUGAAGCCCCAUGUCCUAAGCCCCCAGCAGGGCCCCCGGUGGCAGAACAAUAGCUAAAAUUUGAGACCAACCUCCUGAGGAAAAAUCUGGAGAGUUUGACAGAGCAGCUGCAAGCUCAGGUGAAAAUGAGAACUUGAAUCGCCUGAGCUCUGAGCAGAAAAAAAGGCUGUGGCAGCAGGAGGAGUCAUUGCAGGAGGAGAAAGAGAGAAUGUGGCUGCAGAAGGAGGAGCUGAACAAUGAGAAAAACAAGGCACUGCAGUUGUUGCAGCAAAUAAAGGAGCUGCAGGAGAAGCUGCACAACCAGAAGGUGACAGUAACCUCUGCCCCAUCCAAGAAGCGCUGGGAGGUAGAGCUGAAAAGCCAAGAGGCUCGGAGUCUGCAGCAGCAGUGAGACCAGUACCUGGGUCACCUGCAGAAGUAUGUGGCCGCCUAUCAGCAGCUGACCUCUGAGAAGAAGGCACUGCACAGGCAUUUCCUGCUACGGACCCAGCUCAUGAACCAGCUGCAGCAGCAGGAAGCUAGGGGCAAAGCAGUAGCCGAGAUGGCCCACCAAAAGUUGCAGGAGACCCAGGGGAGGGAGUUGCUGAGGAUGGGUCCCAUGGGGGAUGACCUGGCAACCUCUGUGCCUUCUUGCUUCUUUUCCUGGCCCCUUAGGAGCACUUGAAAGCUGCCACCCAGGAGAACCAGCAGCCACAGGACCAGCUGGGCCUCAUGACUCUUCCUGGGGAAGACCCCUCUGGCCACACCCCACAGGAGAUGGAGGAGGACAUAUGGACAGUGAGGAGGAGGAGGUGCCUCGGCCCAGCAUUGCAGAGAUCCUGGAGAGCCGAGAGGCCAUGGAGCCAGUGCUCAGACACCAUUUCACCUGUGACUGACAGUGCAUUCUCUGAGGCCCCAAGGGAAGGGGCUGCACUCCACCUCCAUGCCCAUUUGCUCUGUGUAUGCCGCAACAAGAAUGUUCACCUCUUCAGGUUGCAUUUUCCAACUCGGCUGGGGCCAGUGCCCAGGAGGAGCAGGAACAACUGUGUGUGCAGCCUCAGGAACGAAAGGUAUGCUACCAGCACCUGGCUCACCCAGUGGCCUUGGUGCAGGAGCCAGAGGCAGUGGCCCCGGCCCCAGCCUCAGGGACUGAGAGUGAGUCUUUGUGUGGGGAGACCAAUCAGGCACUGCAGGGAGCCAUAGAGAAGCCGCAGGUGAGUCCUGGCAUAGGCCAAGAAGGGUGGGGGCAGGGCAGGUCACUGCUGAGAUGUGACCCCAUUAUUUUUACUUCAGAACAGCUUUAUGACCCUCCGAAAGGAGAAGGUGGACCUGAAGGAGCGGGUGGAGAAACUAGAGCUUCUAUUCAUCAGGCUCUCUGAAGAGACAGACACAAUGAGAAAGGACAUCAAAUCAUGUGAGCAGCAGAGGGCAGUCCCAAAAACCCGGCACCAGGAGAAGGGGGAAAAGCAGGAGAUAAAUAUCUUUGUGAGGUGAGCCUCGCAGAUGGCAUGGAGCCUGCAAGAGACGCCAGGGAGGGUUCUCCCCAGGACAACCCCACUGUAGGAAACAUCCUGCAGCCGCUUUGUGAAAUGAAGACCUUCCAGAAGCACCCAGGCUUGGGCUGCAACCCCUAUGUGCCAUUGUUUUACCGGGCUGCCAAGAACAGGGAGAACAGCAUCACAGACAUAUUUUGUGCAAUAUUUACGGUAAUGUGCCUAUACAUUAUGAAUGAAUUAUUUCAGUCAUGCAUAGCCUAACUCAUAACUUUAUGAUGCUUGAGAAAGAAUCAACAAUUAAAACUUCAUGAAGUUCUAAUGUCUUUGUUCCAAAAUAAGUCCCAUGAUUAGGAUGUAGGGAGAUAUGUAUGUGUGCUCCCUGGAGUGGGGAUUUCUAAUUACUAGACCAUCUCCAUUUUCAGCAUUUGGCCUCUUCAUGAUACUUUUAUAAAUAUGACAUUAAUAACAGAGCAAUAAUAUGACUGUACAGAUGGAAUAACAGAUUUCCCUGCAUUCACUGAAAGAAUGCAAAUAUUGGGUCCUGGUGACUUCAACUGAUUCUUCCAAACUGUAUGAAUUUAACAAUGUAUCAGAUAAACCCAGUUUCAGAAUUAUCAAGAAAAAAAUGUUAGACCAAA